RNAcentral lists this ribosomal RNA (436 nucleotides) under uncultured bacterium. Its description in RNAcentral is "partial 16S ribosomal RNA". It matches the Rfam family "Bacterial small subunit ribosomal RNA", at positions 358 to 786 of the family's 1533-position model. The record is from RNAcentral.
GGAAUAUUGGACAAUGGGGGGAACCCUGAUCCAGCCAUGCCGCGUGUGUGAAGAAGGCCUUAUGGUUGUAAAGCACUUUAAGCGAGGAGGAGGCUCUUUUGGUUAAUACCCAAGAUGAGUGGACGUUACUCGCAGAAUAAGCACCGGCUAACUCUGUGCCAGCAGCCGCGGUAAUACAGAGGGUGCGAGCGUUAAUCGGAUUUACUGGGCGUAAAGCGUGCGUAGGUGGCUUUUAAGUCGGAUGUGAAAUCCCCGAGCUUAACUUGGGAAUUGCAUUCGAUACUGGGAAGCUAGAGUAUGGGAGAGGAUGGUAGAAUUCCAGGUGUAGCGGUGAAAUGCGUAGAGAUCUGGAGGAAUACCGAUGGCGAAGGCAGCCAUCUGGCCUAAUACUGACGCUGAGGUACGAAAGCAUGGGGAGCAAACAGGAUUAGAUACC